CAGGGACAGCGCCUAUUUAGCUAGUGGAGUGACGUGCUAGGACGAUUUUUUGGCAGCUGUCUAGUGCCGAUUUCUGCCAGUGCUUUUUGUUUUUCUUCAUCCGCCACUGAAACAAAAUGUCUCAACGGUUCAUAACUGAUUUUAUAAGGAUCGACAGACAAAUUUACAAUUUGCAAAUUCAAGUCCGCCACACACGGUCAUGUCUAAACACGUCAAGCCUCUCAUCCCAAACGGCCUGAUAACCAUUCUGUCAGGCUUCAGUCGAGCAUACCUAAGAAAGAGGCCAACUGACCUAGGGCUAUUUGCCAUGUACUACUGUAUGGAACUGCGGAAAUACAGAGAUGGUAUAUUAGCUCACCAUGGUCCCACAGAGACAAAAAUAUGACUGAUUACGUAGUGUACAGUGCAUUUUAUCAUGUAUUAAGCGUUCUGUAGAAAUACAUCUGAUCAAGAUUUAAUUUGUUUUGUAAUGCAGAAAUAGCGACCUAUUCACCAAACAAGCUGGUGAAAGAUUUUCAUAAACAUAGAGCCGAGAGACUCUGUGACAAUGCCUAUGAAGAGGAACUGUUGAAGUAUGGAUACAAAGUGACCUCUAAGGAGGAUGUGACGUUUAAUGCCCUGGAGAUCACAUCUCAGGACCUGCAAAUACUAGGCAGUAGUGAGAGACAGAUCAACAGACGGUACUCGACCACCACUAGCCCAUGUGGAGAACAAGUGAACAAUAUUACAGCUCCAUCCGCCAUGGACCUGCAGGUGAACCAAACCCUGGGUUCUGCAGCUAUGGAGCUAGGGGCACUGGUUGGCAACAUUGUACCCACAACAUCAUCAAGCCCUUUUCAACCAACCAACAAUAACGCCAACACCCAACACGUGGCACAUGCAUCCUCCCAGGCAGUAGCAGGUCUGGCAUCCACUGAGAACAAGACUGGUGAAGUUGCUUCACAAGUCAAACCUGGCUCAGCAGAGAUAUUCGCCAGCAGCAGCUGCGAGGCCAGUAUUUCUGGACAGGCCUGUGUUCCCCAGCAUUACACACCCACCAGCCAGGAGGGGGGGUAUGCCUGUGCCGCCAUGCCCACAGAGAUACCCUGCUACCCCAGAUUUCCCCAGAAUUACCCGACAUACCCUCCACCACCACCCUACCUCCCAGGCUUUCAUCCUUAUUAUUUGGACCUCAUGUCUGGCCAAUAUGUCCAGCCGUCCUGCAGAUGCCAGCGAUAUGGCAGAGUGGUAUAUCGUCCCCCUGGUCAGCCAGUGCUGCCCCAGUGCCACCAUGCCGCUCCACUGCCAGUGCCGCAGUGCACUCACCAGCACCUCAGCCCUUCUGCAAGCUGCAUUCAAGUGGCUCCAACCAUGGGGCCCUCCUGCCCCUCUGGAUUGCAGAGCCCUUUCUCACGGUGCAUCCCUGUGCCUGUCCUCGCCAACCACUUUGGCUCUCUUUACUACAGGCCCAAGCAGAGACCCAGGAUGGCCACAGGUGUGCCUGGCUGCAGGAGCGAGUGCCUACCCACAUCCAGACGGCUCAACUGCACUUCCUGCAACGUGAGUGACAGCUCUAGCUAUGCGCCAGAGCCCGCCGCCCAGGCCUCCUAUCAUGGAGGAUAUCGAGGACAGUGUGGGGGUGACGCCAUCCAUGGACCAGUCCCUGCCGGUGCACUAAGGUCCCUGUAUGCCCCUGUGCCGUGCCCCAUUGGACUGCAGAGAAGGGAUGCCCCGGCUCAGCGACCAGGCAGCGCCCCGACUAGGAGGGUUGUUCCAUUGACCACGCAGAACCAGAAUAGCCCGUUCCCAUCCUCAUAAGGGACAGGUUUGGAACAAGUUAUUCUGUGAAUGGAUAGCUGCAAAUUAUUUGAUUGAAUUUAAUCUUAUUAAGUCUUCAGUUUGACACAAUUUUGCCUUGAAGCUUUUGUUAAUUGGUAGUAUAAUUAAAC
This 1928-nucleotide long non-coding RNA is filed under the name Salmo salar (Atlantic salmon). RNAcentral's name for it is "lncRNA (ENSSSAG00000114910.1)". Lineage: Eukaryota; Metazoa; Chordata; Actinopteri; Salmoniformes; Salmonidae. The record is from RNAcentral.